Molecule: unclassified non-coding RNA, 173 nt
Filed under: fungal sp.
Lineage: Eukaryota; Fungi
Description: partial internal transcribed spacer region
Rfam family: Eukaryotic small subunit ribosomal RNA (bases 1-46)
Source: RNAcentral
AAGUCGUAACAAGGUUUCCGUAGGUGAACCUGCGGAAGGAUCAUCGUUGUGAUAUCUUUGAAUACCUGUGGGUUUUUUUCCAGAUCCCAACCAAAAGGAGAGAGGCGUUGACUGAGGUUUGUUUUGGAGAGAAAAAAGGACAAAACUUUCAACAACGGAUCUCUUGGCUCUCA